This 138-nucleotide transfer RNA is filed under the name Penicillium crustosum. RNAcentral describes it as "tRNA-Arg". It matches the Rfam family "tRNA". From Rfam's summary of the family: Transfer RNA (tRNA) molecules are approximately 80 nucleotides in length. Their secondary structure includes four short double-helical elements and three loops (D, anti-codon, and T loops). The record is from RNAcentral. Lineage: Eukaryota; Fungi; Ascomycota; Eurotiomycetes; Eurotiales; Aspergillaceae.
GGCGGUUUGGCCGAGUGGUCUAAGGCGAUUGAGUACGUUUCUCUUCCAAUAAUUGGAUCCACAAAACAUUCACUAACAAUCUCCACAGCUAGAAAUCAAUUCCGUUCGCGGGCGCAUGUUCGAAUCAUGCAGCCGUCG